This 435-nucleotide ribosomal RNA is filed under the name uncultured bacterium. RNAcentral's name for it is "partial 16S ribosomal RNA". It matches the Rfam family "Bacterial small subunit ribosomal RNA", at positions 29 to 507 of the family's 1533-position model. The record is from RNAcentral.
AGCGAACGCUGGCGGCAGGCUUAACACAUGCAAGUCGAGCGGGCGUAGCAAUACGUCAGCGGCAGACGGGUGAGUAACGCGUGGGAACGUACCUUUUGGUUCGGAACAACACAGGGAAACUUGUGCUAAUACCGGAUAAGCACUUCCGGGGAAAGAUUUAUCGCCGAAAGAUCGGCCCGCGUCUGAUUAGCUAGUUGGUGAGGUAACGGCUCACCAAGGCGACGAUCAGUAGCUGGUCUGAGAGGAUGAUCAGCCACAUUGGGACUGAGACACGGCCCAAACUCCUACGGGAGGCAGCAGUAGGGAAUAUUGGACAAUGGGGGCAACCCUGAUCCAGCCAUGCCGCGUGAGUGAUGAAGGCCCUAGGGUUGUAAAGCUCUUUUGUGCGGGAAGAUAAUGACGGUACCGCAAGAAUAAGCCCCGGCUAACUUCGUG